RNAcentral lists this unclassified non-coding RNA (348 nucleotides) under soil metagenome. Its description in RNAcentral is "partial contains 5.8S ribosomal RNA, internal transcribed spacer 2, and large subunit ribosomal RNA". The stretch from base 1 to 120 matches the Rfam family "5.8S ribosomal RNA", at positions 35 to 154 of the family's 154-position model. The record is from RNAcentral.
GAUGAAGAACGUAGCGAAAUGCGAUAAGUAAUGUGAAUUGCAGAAUUCCGUGAAUCAUCGAAUCUUUGAACGCACAUUGCGCCCGCCAGUAUUCUGGCGGGCAUGUCUGUUCGAGCGUCAUUUCAACCCUCAAGCCCCCGGGCUUGGUGUUGGGGCUCGGCCCGUCCCUAGCGGAUGCGCCGUCCCCGAAAUCUAGUGGCGGUCUCGCUGUAGCCUCCUCUGCGUAGUAGCUAACACCUCGCAAUGGGAACGCAGCGCGGCCACGCCGUUAAACCCCCCACUUCUGAAGGUUGACCUCGGAUCAGGUAGGAAUACCCGCUGAACUUAAGCAUAUCAAUAAGCGGAGGA